RNAcentral lists this ribosomal RNA (573 nucleotides) under uncultured bacterium. RNAcentral's name for it is "bacterial SSU rRNA". It matches the Rfam family "Bacterial small subunit ribosomal RNA", at positions 353 to 944 of the family's 1533-position model. The record is from RNAcentral.
AGUGAGGGAUAUUGGGCAAUGGGGGAAACCCUGACCCAGCGACGCCGCGUGAGGGAAGACGGUCUUCGGAUUGUAAACCUCUGUCUUUGGGGACGAAAAAGGACGGUACCCAAGGAGGAAGCUCCGGCUAACUACGUGCCAGCAGCCGCGGUAAUACGUAGGGAGCGAGCGUUGUCCGGAAUUACUGGGUGUAAAGGGAGCGUAGGCGGGAAGGCAAGUUGGAUGUGAAAACUGUGGGCUCAACCGACAGACUGCAUUCAAAACUGUUUUUCUUGAGUGAAGUAGAGGCAAGCGGAAUUCCUAGUGUAGCGGUGAAAUGCGUAGAUAUUAGGAGGAACACCAGUGGCGAAGGCGGCUUGCUGGGCUUUUACUGACGCUGAGGCUCGAAAGUGUGGGGAGCAAACAGGAUUAGAUACCCUGGUAGUCCACACCGUAAACGAUGAUUACUAGGUGUGGGGGCGUCAAGCUUCCGUGCCGGAGUUAACACAAUAAGUAAUCCACCUGGGGAGUACGGCCGCAAGGUUGAAACUCAAAGGAAUUGACGGGGGCCCGCACAAGCAGUGGAGUAUGUGG